AUGUCGAGCGGACAGAUGGGAGCUUGCUCCCUGAUGUUAGCGGCGGACGGGUGAGAAACACGUGGGUAACCUGCCUGUAAGACUGGGAUAACUCCGGGAAACCGGGGCUAAUACCGGAUGCUUGUUUGAACCGCAUGGUUCAAACAUAAAAGGUGGCUUCGGCUACCACUUACAGAUGGACCCGCGGCGCAUUAGCUAGUUGGUGAGGUAACGGCUCACCAAGGCAACGAUGCGUAGCCGACCUGAGAGGGUGAUCGGCCACACUGGGACUGAGACACGGCCCAGACUCCUACGGGAGGCAGCAGUAGGGAAUCUUCCGCAAUGGACGAAAGUCUGACGGAGCAACGCCGCGUGAGUGAUGAAGGUUUUCGGAUCGUAAAGCUCUGUUGUUAGGGAAGAACAAGUACCGUUCGAAUAGGGCGGUACCUUGACGGUACCUAACCAGAAAGCCACGGCUAACUACGUGCCAGCAGCCGCGGUAAUACGUAGGUGGCAAGCGUUGUCCGGAAUUAUUGGGCGUAAAGGGCUCGCAGGCGGUUUCUUAAGUCUGAUGUGAAAGCCCCCGGCUCAACCGGGGAGGGUCAUUGGAAACUGGGGAACUUGAGUGCAGAAGAGGAGAGUGGAAUUCCACGU
Molecule: ribosomal RNA, 633 nt
Filed under: Bacillus inaquosorum
Lineage: Bacteria; Bacillati; Bacillota; Bacilli; Caryophanales; Bacillaceae
Description: bacterial SSU rRNA
Rfam family: Bacterial small subunit ribosomal RNA
Source: RNAcentral